UACGUAGGGAGCAAGCGCUGUCCGGAAUCAUUGGGCGUAAAGCGCGCGUAGGUGGCCCAGUAAGUCCGUUCUGAAAGUCACAGGCUCAACCUGUGAAAGCGGAUGGAUACUGCUGGGCUAGAGUCCGGAAGAGGCGAGUGGAAUUCCUGGUGUAGCGGUGGAAUGCGCAGAUAUCAGGAGGAACACCAACGGCGAAGGCAGCUCGCUGGGACGGUACUGACACUAAGGCGCGAAAGCGUGGGGAGCGAACAGG
This 253-nucleotide ribosomal RNA is filed under the name uncultured bacterium. RNAcentral describes it as "partial 16S ribosomal RNA". It matches the Rfam family "Bacterial small subunit ribosomal RNA", at positions 524 to 776 of the family's 1533-position model. The record is from RNAcentral.